This 412-nucleotide RNase P RNA is filed under the name Candidatus Nesciobacter abundans. RNAcentral's name for it is "Bacterial RNase P class A". It matches the Rfam family "Bacterial RNase P class A". Rfam says of the family: Ribonuclease P (RNase P) is a ubiquitous endoribonuclease, found in archaea, bacteria and eukarya as well as chloroplasts and mitochondria. Lineage: Bacteria; Pseudomonadati; Pseudomonadota; Alphaproteobacteria; Holosporales; Holosporaceae. The record is from Rfam by way of RNAcentral.
AGUGGAAAUCAAUCUGUCGCUGUGAUUUUUCUUGUUUACAUAUUUGUAUUUAUUGCUUGUAUUGUGAAUCUAAGAAAAUAGCAGAGGAAAGUCCGGGCUCCAUGAAGGAAGAGUACCUGUUAACAACAGGCGAGCGUAAGCUUAGGGAAAGUGCCACAGAAAAUUACCGCCAAUAAUUAGAGUUAUUUAAGUUUCUUGAAUGAUUUGUUUUUUGGUAAGGGUGAAAAGGUGCGGUAAGAGCGCACCUCUGAUUUUGGCAACAAGGCAGGAAAAGGUAAACCCUACUCGGAGCAAACUCGAACAGAAAAUACCUUCAUUUAAUUUUCGGGUUGAGUGCUUCAGUGCGUUAGUGAUAUCGCAUGUAGAUAAAUGACAGUUAAUACAGAAUCCGGCUUAUAGAUUUCCAAACUUU